This 469-nucleotide ribosomal RNA is filed under the name uncultured organism. Its description in RNAcentral is "partial 16S ribosomal RNA". It matches the Rfam family "Bacterial small subunit ribosomal RNA", at positions 335 to 797 of the family's 1533-position model. The record is from RNAcentral.
ACUCCUACGGGAGGCAGCAGUAGGGAAUCUUCCACAAUGGGUGCAAACCUGAUGGAGCAAUGCCGCGUGAGUGAAGAAGGUCUUCGGAUCGUAAAGCUCUGUUGUUAGAGAAGAACACGUGCUAGGUAACUACUAGCGCCUUGACGGUAUCUAACCAGAAAGUCACGGCUAACUACGUGCCAGCAGCCGCGGUAAUACGUAGGUGACAAGCGUUGUCCGGAUUUAUUGGGCGUAAAGGGAGCGCAGGCGGUCUGUUUAGUCUAAUGUGAAAGCCCACGGCUUAACCGUGGAACGGCAUUGGAAACUGACAGACUUGAAUGUAGAAGAGGAAAAUGGAAUUCCAAGUGUAGCGGUGGAAUGCGUAGAUAUUUGGAGGAACACCAGUGGCGAAGGCGAUUUUCUGGUCUAACAUUGACGCUGAGGCUCGAAAGCGUGGGGAGCGAACAGGAUUAGAUACCCCGGUAGUCCC